This 483-nucleotide ribosomal RNA is filed under the name uncultured bacterium. RNAcentral describes it as "partial 16S ribosomal RNA". It matches the Rfam family "Bacterial small subunit ribosomal RNA", at positions 28 to 507 of the family's 1533-position model. The record is from RNAcentral.
GACGAACGCUGGCGGCGUGCUUAACACAUGCAAGUCGAACGCUGAAGCUCAGCUUUUGUUGGGUGGAUGAGUGGCGAACGGGUGAGUAACACGUGAGUAACCUGCCCCCUUCUUUGGGAUAACGCCCGGAAACGGGUGCUAAUACUGGAUAUUCACUGGUCUUCGCAUGGGGGUUGGUGGAAAGGGUUUUUCUGGUGGGGGAUGGGCUCGCGGCCUAUCAGCUUGUUGGUGGGGUGAUGGCCUACCAAGGCUUUGACGGGUAGCCGGCCUGAGAGGGUGACCGGUCACAUUGGGACUGAGAUACGGCCCAGACUCCUACGGGGGGCAGCAGUGGGGAAUAUGGCACAAUGGGCGCAAGCCUGAUGCAGCGACGCCGCGUGAGGGAUGGAGGCCGUCGGGUUGUGAACCUCUUUCGCUCAUGGUCAAGCCGCAACAAUGGUUGUGGUGAGGGUAGUGGGUAAAGAAGCGCCGGCUAACUACGUG